Molecule: long non-coding RNA, 895 nt
Organism: Pan troglodytes (chimpanzee)
Lineage: Eukaryota; Metazoa; Chordata; Mammalia; Primates; Hominidae
Exons: 3
Source: RefSeq, a predicted model, not a curated record
UUCAACCUAGCUCAUAAAAGAAAACAAUAUUGCAUUUCUAAGUAUUGGCUCCUAGAAUUGGCAAGUUUAGUCGAGAAAAGCUGGAAUGCCAUUAAAACAACACCCUGUCAUCUUUCAAUCAGUCCUUAGCUGAAGUUAAAAUCCCACUCAUUCUGCAUGAUCCAGCCUCUGUAGCAUAGAGUGAGUAGCCCCUUAACAAGAACCAAAAUGGAGGGUACGGAUAAGGCUUAGAUCGUCACCACCUGGAGAAUAGAGACAGUGCCUGAGUCGCCAGGAAAUCUGUCCCCUGCUCAUCCCAGAAUCCCCGAGCUUUGACUUUUUAAGAGAACAUGUGACAGAUAAUGCCAUCUGAGAAGGAUUGCCUCCUUUACUAUAUGUUUUCCACUGAGAUGAAGAUUUUGGUCAUUUCCUCAUUCAUGUUCCUGCUUUUCAAAACCCAAGCAAGAAAGGAAACUUCUACAGUGACUUUCUCAUUAUGAAAUCUUAGCAUUCACUAGUCGGCCAUAAUGGAAAACCAGCCAAAUGGACACAUAUACACUGGUCUGUACCCGCAGAGAAAGAACUGCAAAUCUCUGUGAUCAGAAAACUAUCCUAUCUUGUACAUUGUUAAAAGUCUGCCUCCAAAAAGUUUACUUCUGGAAUACUGUAAUUGAAUAGAAUCAGGGAUCCUACCUGUGUCCUUCAACUUUCACAUCUUGUCUACUCAAGUAAGGGUUGAAUUUGCAUGACUAUAUCUAAGGUUCAAGGGCUUACCUGUUGGCAGUAGACCCAGUAGUCUAUGAAUGGAAAUGGGCAAACCUGUGACCUCCCAAAACUUUAAUAUGAAAGUUUUGUUUGUGUAUACUCAUGGCAUUAUUCUUUUAAUAAAGAGAUAAUCUAUAUAGUUUUCUUUUUU